GAAAUGCGAUAAGUAAUGUGAAUUGCAGAAUUCAGUGAACCAUCGAAUCUUUGAACGCACCUUGCGCUCCUUGGUAUUCCGAGGAGCAUGCCUGUUUGAGUGUCAUGGAAUUCUCAACUCUAUUUGCUUUUGUGAAUAGAGCUUGGAUUUGGAGGUUUAUUGCUGGUACUUGUGAUCGGCUCCUCUUGAAUGCAUUAGCUCGAACCUUUGCGGAUCAGCUAUCGGUGUGAUAAUUGUCUACGCCGUUGCAGUGAAGCAUAUCAAUGGGCUCGGCUUCCAAUCGUCCUUUACUGGACAAUGACUUUGACCUUUGACCUCAAAUCAGGUAGGAUUACCCGCUGAACUUAAGC
Molecule: unclassified non-coding RNA, 350 nt
Filed under: plant metagenome
Description: partial contains 5.8S ribosomal RNA, internal transcribed spacer 2, and large subunit ribosomal RNA
Rfam family: 5.8S ribosomal RNA (bases 1-105)
Source: RNAcentral